UAGGGAAUCUUCGGCAAUGGACGAAAGUCUGACCGAGCAACGCCGCGGGAGUGAAGAAGGGUUUCGGAUCGUAAAACUCUGUUGUUAGAGAAGAACAAGGACGUUAGUAACUGAACGUCCCCUGACGGUAUCUAACCAGAAAGCCACGGCUAACUACGUGCCAGCAGCCGCGGUAAUACGUAGGUGGCAAGCGUUGUCCGGAUUUAUUGGGCGUAAAGCGAGCGCAGGCGGUUUCUUAAGUCUGAUGUGAAAGCCCCCGGCUCAACCGGGGAGGGUAAUUGGAAACUGGGAGACUUGAGUGGAGAAGAGGAGAGUGGAAUUCCAUGUGUAGCGGUGAAAUGCGUAGAUAUAUGGAGGAACACCAGUGGCGAAGGCGGCGCUCUGGUCUGUAACUGACGCUGAGGAUGGAAGGCGUGGGGAGCAAACAGG
This 429-nucleotide ribosomal RNA is filed under the name Gemmatimonadota bacterium. Its description in RNAcentral is "Gemmatimonadetes bacterium partial 16S ribosomal RNA". It matches the Rfam family "Bacterial small subunit ribosomal RNA", at positions 355 to 776 of the family's 1533-position model. The record is from RNAcentral. Lineage: Bacteria; Pseudomonadati; Gemmatimonadota.